This 468-nucleotide ribosomal RNA is filed under the name uncultured bacterium. RNAcentral describes it as "partial 16S ribosomal RNA". It matches the Rfam family "Bacterial small subunit ribosomal RNA", at positions 28 to 507 of the family's 1533-position model. The record is from RNAcentral.
GACGAACGCUGGCGGCGUGCUUAACACAUGCAAGUCGAACGGAAAGGCCCUGCUUUUGUGGGGUGCUCGAGUGGCGAACGGGUGAGUAACACGUGAGUAACCUGCCCUUGACUUUGGGAUAACUUCAGGAAACUGGGGCUAAUACCGGAUAGGAGCUCCUGCUGCAUGGUGGGGGUUGGAAAGUUUCGGCGGUUGGGGAUGGACUCGCGGCUUAUCAGCUUGUUGGUGGGGUAGUGGCUUACCAAGGCUUGGACGGGUAGCCGGCCUGAGAGGGGGACCGGCCACAUUGGGACUGAGAUACGGCCCAGACUCCUACGGGAGGCAGCAGUGGGGAAUAUUGCACAAUGGGCGGAAGCCUGAUGCAGCAACGCCGCGUGCGGGAUGACGGCCUUCGGGUUGUAAACCGCUUUCGCCUGUGACGAAGCGUGAGUGACGGUAAUGGGUAAAGAAGCACCGGCUAACUACGUG